UACGUAGGUGGCAAGCGUUGUCCGGAAUUAUUGGGCGUAAAGCGCGCGCAGGCGGCUUCUUAAGUCUGAUGUGAGAUCUUGCGGCUCAACCGCAAACGGUCAUUGGAAACUGGGAAGCUUGAGUGCAGAAGAGGAGAGUAGAAUUCCACGUGUAGCGGUGAAAUGCGUAGAUAUGUGGAGGAAUACCAGUGGCGAAGGCGGCUCUCUGGUCUGUAACUGACGCUGAGGCGCGAAAGCGUGGGGAGCAAACAG
This 252-nucleotide ribosomal RNA is filed under the name uncultured bacterium. Its description in RNAcentral is "partial 16S ribosomal RNA". It matches the Rfam family "Bacterial small subunit ribosomal RNA", at positions 524 to 775 of the family's 1533-position model. The record is from RNAcentral.